This 459-nucleotide ribosomal RNA is filed under the name Streptococcus mutans. Its description in RNAcentral is "bacterial SSU rRNA". It matches the Rfam family "Bacterial small subunit ribosomal RNA", at positions 28 to 463 of the family's 1533-position model. The record is from RNAcentral. Lineage: Bacteria; Bacillati; Bacillota; Bacilli; Lactobacillales; Streptococcaceae.
GACGAACGCUGGCGGCGUGCCUAAUACAUGCAAGUGGGACGCAAGGAAACACACUGUGCUUGCACACCGUGUUUUCUUGAGUCGCGAACGGGUGAGUAACGCGUAGGUAACCUGCCUAUUAGCGGGGGAUAACUAUUGGAAACGAUAGCUAAUACCACAUAAUAUUAAUUAUUGCAUGAUAAUUGAUUGAAAGAUGCAAGCGCAUCACUAGUAGAUGGACCUGCGUUGUAUUAGCUAGUUGGUAAGGUAAGAGCUUACCAAGGCGACGAUACAUAGCCGACCUGAGAGGGUGAUCGGCCACACUGGGACUGAGACACGGCCCAGACUCCUACGGGAGGCAGCAGUAGGGAAUCUUCGGCAAUGGACGAAAGUCUGACCGAGCAACGCCGCGUGAGUGAAGAAGGUUUUCGGAUCGUAAAGCUCUGUUGUAAGUCAAGAACGUGUGUGAGAGUGGAAAGU